GAGGGUGUAGCUCAGUGUGUAGAGCAUGUGCUUAGCACGCACGAGGUCCUGGGUUCAGUCCGAAGCACCUCCG
RNAcentral lists this transfer RNA (73 nucleotides) under Camelus bactrianus (Bactrian camel). It matches the Rfam family "tRNA". Rfam says of the family: Transfer RNA (tRNA) molecules are approximately 80 nucleotides in length. Their secondary structure includes four short double-helical elements and three loops (D, anti-codon, and T loops). Further hydrogen bonds mediate the characteristic L-shaped molecular structure. tRNAs have two regions of fundamental functional importance: the anti-codon, which is responsible for specific mRNA codon recognition, and the 3' end, to which the tRNAs corresponding amino acid is attached (by aminoacyl-tRNA synthetases). tRNAs cope with the degeneracy of the genetic code in two manners: having more than one tRNA (with a specific anti-codon) for a particular amino acid; and 'wobble' base-pairing, i.e. permitting non-standard base-pairing at the 3rd anti-codon position. The record is from Rfam by way of RNAcentral. RNAcentral also lists the same sequence under 2 other names. Lineage: Eukaryota; Metazoa; Chordata; Mammalia; Artiodactyla; Camelidae.